GGUUGUGGCUCAGCGAUAGAGCACUCGCCUAAUACGGGCAGAGCCCUGGGUUCGAUUCUCAGCACCA
This 67-nucleotide transfer RNA is filed under the name Marmota monax (woodchuck). RNAcentral's name for it is "tRNA.Ile". The record is from RNAcentral. Lineage: Eukaryota; Metazoa; Chordata; Mammalia; Rodentia; Sciuridae.